This is a long non-coding RNA of Pseudoliparis swirei, 1356 nucleotides long. RefSeq lists it as uncharacterized. Lineage: Eukaryota; Metazoa; Chordata; Actinopteri; Perciformes; Liparidae. The transcript has 2 exons. The record is from RefSeq and is a predicted model, not a curated record.
CAACGUCCCCACAGGACCACCACGUCCCCCCACACACACUUUUGGAUGUUGUUAAUAUUUCCUCCCUGGUGUAAAUACUCUCUCCUGGUUACCAUGGUUACGUCACAGCAGACUGUGUGGUCACUUUUCUAUAUCUGUACAUACAUAUAAAAACACAAAGUACUUUCUCUUUGUAUAAAAAAUAAAUACUAAUAUUAUUACACACAAAGAAAUAUAUCUACAUAUAUAUGAUGUUAUCCAAUCAGAUUGGGUUCCUGAACAUUCACUCAUGAUCUAUUUGGGAUGUGACGGUUUGGUUGUUGACAGGAAGUAAAGCACAUGGUCACCAGACCGCCACCUGUUUGUUUGUUGUUUACAGAUGUGGAGGAUGGCUGGACACUGUUGUCGUGGUUGUUGCUCCAGUUCCUCUGGCCACCAGACGAGGGGGAUCUUAAGGUCAAAGAUUCGAGUCGUCGUUUCCGUCGAUGACGAGAACAAAGUGCGACUCAUCUGGAAACCCGAGAGCUUCAAUCAACGCAAAGAAAGAAACGCGGCCGGCCGCCUCCAGAGGAGCUGCCGGCACCGCCUCGGCCACUGGGCGUGUGCAGGAGUUCAAAGAGAAACUUAUUUUUGGGACGUCUGGAACGCAUUUCAAAGUUAGAAAAAUGUAGAUUGUUUUUUAUUUAUUUCGUAUAUCUCCAUGAUUUUAGUUUCUCUCUAACUUUCUUUUCCUUCCGUCGAGGUUUAAUGGAACCGAGCCUUCAUUUAGCUUCCCGUUGGUUUAAAGUCGGAUGACUUUCGGCUAUCGACCUUUUUAUUAAAACCCGAGUAAGAAGCGUCGGUUCAGUUCCAGCGGAGCGAAGAAUCACAUUCCAGGUCUUUGGUUCCACCGACACGAGAAACAAGGCCCAGAUUGUAGGAAACGGGGCGGGGGGGGGGGCUACACGAGGCCGAGAGCAACACAUGAGAUAUCAUGGUGACUCCUCCCCUUUUUAGAGGCUGCACAGCUUCACACACACACACACACACACAGGUGAAUCACACUCGUGCUCCACCAGUAGAUCUCUACAUGUCCUGACCCCCGUACGUCUCACUCGUCUGACCACGGCACAUUCCUGACCCCGGCACAUGUACAUAGAGCGCGUGUGUGUGUGUGUGUGUGUGUGUGUGGGCCUCCUCGUCUGCAGGAGCUUCACAGAAGACGAGGGCUUCUCUUCUCUUCUCACUCACUUGGUUUCAGGGGUUUGGACAUUUUAAUGAAGCCCUUAUUUGUAUUUGUUCUGCCUGUGAUGUUGUGACGUUGAUUGUUUCUUUGUGUUUUUUUAAGUGGGCCUGUUGGUAAACGUGUCUGGAAACUCAAUAAAGCAAUUCACUGUC